RNAcentral lists this ribosomal RNA (774 nucleotides) under uncultured Neocallimastigales. RNAcentral describes it as "partial large subunit ribosomal RNA". It matches the Rfam family "Eukaryotic large subunit ribosomal RNA", at positions 22 to 639 of the family's 3401-position model. The record is from RNAcentral. Lineage: Eukaryota; Fungi; Neocallimastigomycota; Neocallimastigomycetes; Neocallimastigales.
GUACACGCUGUGACUAGCAUAUCAAUAAGCGGAGGAAAAGAAACUAACAAGGAUUCCCCUAGUAACGGCGAGUGAAGCGGGAAGAGCUCAAAUUUGAAAUCUUAAAGGGUUUCCCUUUACGAAUUGUAGUUUAAAGAAGUGUUUUCUGUUGAGGUUUCGGUAAAAGUUCUUUGGAAUAGGACAUCAUAGAGGGUGAGAAUCCCGUAUUUGACCUUUACUUUCAACUUUGUGAUACACUUUCAAAGAGUCGGAUUGUUUGGGAAUGCAGUCCAAAAUGGGUGGUAAAUUUCAUCUAAAGCUAAAUAUUGGCGAGAGACCGAUAGCGAACAAGUACCGUGAGGGAAAGAUGAAAAGAACUUUGAAAAGAGAGUUAAACAGUACGUGAAAUUGUCAAAAGGGAAGCGUUUGACACCAGUGUUGUUUUUCUGAAAAUCAAUUAAAGAACUGUUUAUGCUAAGCUGUUUAGACUUUAUCAGCUAUCUGUUUAGUUUUGAGCUUUUCUUUAAUGCACUUUUCAGUUAACAAGUCAACAUCAAUUUCUUUUGCUGUAAAAAAGCUUGAGGAAGGUGGCUUGAGAUUCGUCUUAAGUGUUUAUAGCCUCUUGCCUAUGCAGUCGGAGAGAUUGAGGUCUGCAGCGUAGAUCCUUCGGGGCUAAAUGCAUUUGUGCUAAGUUAUAACAUUUUAUAGACAACUUGUUGACUAUGAUUUGUCUUGUAGCUUACUCGCUUAUGUUAUUUUACCUACGCUUAGGAUGUUGACGCGCGUGUGUGCGUG